Molecule: ribosomal RNA, 253 nt
Filed under: uncultured bacterium
Lineage: Bacteria
Description: partial 16S ribosomal RNA
Rfam family: Bacterial small subunit ribosomal RNA
Source: RNAcentral
UACGUAGGGGGCAAGCGUUGUCCGGAUUUAUUGGGUUUAAAGGGUGCGUAGGUGGUCAAUUAAGUCAGUGCUGAAAUAUCCCGGCUUAACCGGGAGGGUGGCAUUGAUACUGAUUGACUUGAGUAGAGUUGAGGUAGGCGGAAUUGACGGUGUAGCGGUGAAAUGCUUAGAUAUCGUCAAGAACACCGAUAGCGAAGGCAGCUUACUAAGCUCAAACUGACACUGAUGCACGAAAGUGUGGGGAUCAAACAGG